This is an RNA transcript of Charadrius vociferus (killdeer), 1233 nucleotides long. It is a transcript of the gene named heterogeneous nuclear ribonucleoprotein D (AU-rich element RNA binding protein 1, 37kDa), with no coding region annotated. The record is from RefSeq and is a predicted model, not a curated record. The transcript is spliced from 8 exons. Lineage: Eukaryota; Metazoa; Chordata; Aves; Charadriiformes; Charadriidae.
AUGUUUAUUGGCGGCCUUAGCUGGGACACUACAAAGAAAGAUCUGAAGGACUAUUUCUCUAAAUUUGGUGAAGUUGUAGACUGCACUCUGAAGUUAGAUCCCAUCACUGGGCGAUCGAGAGGUUUCGGCUUUGUACUCUUCAAAGAAUCGGAGAGCGUAGAUAAGGUCAUGGACCAGAAAGAACACAAGCUGAAUGGAAAGGUCAUUGAUCCAAAAAGAGCUAAAGCCAUGAAAACAAAAGAACCUGUUAAAAAGAUUUUUGUUGGUGGCUUAUCUCCAGACACACCUGAGGAGAAAAUAAGGGAAUAUUUUGGAGGUUUUGGUGAGGUUGAAUCAAUAGAGCUCCCUAUGGACAACAAGACUAACAAGAGACGUGGAUUUUGCUUCAUUACUUUCAAGGAGGAGGAACCAGUGAAGAAAAUAAUGGAAAAAAAAUACCACAAUGUUGGGCUUAGUAAAUGUGAAAUAAAAGUAGCCAUGUCAAAGGAACAGUACCAGCAGCAGCAGCAGUGGGGGAGUCGAGGAGGAUUUGUUGGAAGAGCUCGAGGAAGAGGUGGAGGCCCCAGUCAAAACUGGAACCAGGGAUACAGCAACUACUGGAAUCAGGGUUAUGGGAACUAUGGCUACAACAGCCAAGGGUAUGGAGGUUAUGGAGGAUAUGACUACACUGGUUACAACAACUACUAUGGAUAUGGUGACUAUAGCAAUCAGCAGAGUGGUUAUGGGAAAGUAUCUCGGCGAGGUGGUCAUCAAAAUAGCUACAAACCAUACUAAAUUAUUCCGUUUGCAACUUACCCCAAACAGCGGGAACUUCAUUGCAGGCCCUGUGUCGCGCUGACUUCACGAUUCUCACAGGCCCGCUCAAUGCGGACAGGGUACGAGAUGCUCACGCUCUCGAAUGCUGCCGUUUGGUGGAGACGCAGUAUUUUCUCAUUUGAAGAUUCAUUUGAGGUGGCGCAUGCUACCUGCUAAUAGCGGUUCAAACUAAUUUUUGUAUCAAGCCCAUGAAUUGGAAGUAAGACGUUGGGUCCCUCUGAAGUUUAAUUGAGUUUUCAUUAAGACAAAAUUGCUUUCACGGUCUUAUUUCUUAAUUGCUAUGCUUAAGAAUCAAUUUGGUUUAUGCCCCUUCUUCAGUAUUGUAGCACAAGUCUUGUGUUCAGAAGCCUAGUGUGACAGUGUCAUGAUGUAGUAGUGUCUUACUGGUUUUUUAAUAAAUCUUUUUGUAUAAACAUG